Molecule: ribosomal RNA, 415 nt
Filed under: uncultured Bacteroidales bacterium
Lineage: Bacteria; Pseudomonadati; Bacteroidota; Bacteroidia; Bacteroidales
Description: bacterial SSU rRNA
Rfam family: Bacterial small subunit ribosomal RNA
Source: RNAcentral
CGAGGGGCAGCAUGGUCUUAGCUUGCUAAGGCCGAUGGCGACCGGCGCACGGGUGAGUAACACGUAUCCAACCUGCCGUCUACUCUUGGACAGCCUUCUGAAAGGAAGAUUAAUACAAGAUGGCAUCAUGAGUCCGCAUGUUCACAUGAUUAAAGGUAUUCCGGUAGACGAUGGGGAUGCGUUCCAUUAGAUAGUAGGCGGGGUAACGGCCCACCUAUUCUUCGAUGGAUAGGGGUUCUGAGAGGAAGGUCCCCCACAUUGGAACUGAGACACGGUCCAAACUCCUACGGGAGGCAGCAGUGAGGAAUAUUGGUCAAUGGGCGCAGGCCUGAACCAGCCAAGUAGCGUGAAGGAUGACUGCCCUAUGGGUUGUAAACUUCUUUUAUAAAGGAAUAAAGUCGGGUAUGUAUACCCG